This is a long non-coding RNA of Salvelinus sp. IW2-2015, 1684 nucleotides long. RefSeq lists it as uncharacterized. Lineage: Eukaryota; Metazoa; Chordata; Actinopteri; Salmoniformes; Salmonidae. The record is from RefSeq and is a predicted model, not a curated record.
CUGUUUCGUUGUAUUUGGUUUGUUGGUUUUGUUCUUUAUUGUGCAACCCAACAGGCACAAAACAAACUUGGCAGCAACUGAAGAUUAAAUGUAAAAAUAUACUUCAAACAGCCAAUAUAAAAAAGUGAGGGCCGAAAAACAGGUAGGGGUUCACCACCACUCUCACAGAGGCUGAAGAGAUGGCCCUCAGUCAAAAUAGUGGGUGACCUAUUGCUGAAGGCAUCUCUGGAGUAAGCUCAUCUGACCCAACCACCCCCCUAAGACACAAUGGCCUACAUAAGAGUUACUGGUGGUGUAUUCUGUCUGGGGGAGCCUUCUGCCAUAACAGACCUCCAUGCAGUUGAGGAUAAUGAAGACCCUGUGUCAGCUGCCAGAGAGAGAAGAUACAGAGGCCUAUUGAGGUUUACACUGUAAAAAUAACAUCUAACAGUUGAUAGUGUUGUAUCAUAAUAAAACAUAAACAUUAUUUUUCUCUAGUAGAGCAAUGCUGGAAAUUACAAUGAGGAAGAGGGUCCAUCCCCCUCUACAGCACAACUUACCUCAGUAAGAUGUUGUUCAGCAUUGGCCCAUGACUUACAAUGAAACUAAGUAGACCUGGCACUGUGAAAUGUAAUGUAUUUUUUUUGUGUUCCUAUAGCUCCCUGUGAAACAGCUGUACAAGGUGUACUUACAGAAACAAAUUGUAUUUUAUUUAGAAAUGUACCACAUAAGAAUGCAAAAGAUAGAAAUACAACGGCUGGAACAUCAGUUAAAGGUGGGUGAGGUGCCCACAGGUGGAUGAUUUUACUUGUCUGAACAACACAAAAUACAAACUACUGUACUGCAUUUGUACUUGCAGGAAAUAAGGAAGACUUCAUAAAAAGAAAGGCAUAUAGUCUUUAUUUGACACUGGGGAGGUGAUGGUCAAUCAGAAAUGAUGGUAGCAUAUUGUGUCUGACUGCUCUUCCAUCUCGUGCGUCAGCUGGGUGGUCAGGAUCAUUAUCAGGACUGUUGAGUAGGACAUUGAUUUCCUCUAAUUGUGGCAAUGUUGUGGAGAAUCACACAUGCCCUUUCUAGGGUGACUCUGAGCCUACGAAUGCACUGGAACCGGGCCUUGAGCAUCCCAAUGGUCAUCUCUACCCUGGCUUGUGUCCUGCAGUGAGCCAAGUUAUAACAUUGCUGCGGGCCGGGCUUAGGAUCAGGGUAAGGGGUCAGCAAAUAGGGGUGGCAGGGGUACCUUCUGUCACCGAGCAGGUAACCAUCAAACUCUCCUAUGAGGAUACAGUUUACAUUUUUAGUUGCAAUUGGAGGAAACAAAAUAUUGAUUAUAAUAGGAUAUAGCUCUAUAUAUAUAACUCACUACGGGCAACUCUAGCGCUCAGUGUACACUCAAAAAAUGUGUGAGUUAUGCACAGACCCAGGCCACUUUGCUUCCACGUUGCUGAUGAUGUGGGCUGCAUCACAUAUGAUCUUCACAGUGCAGAACAGUAAUUAGCUUUCAUUUGGAAUGCUAAAGGCUACUAUUUAGGCCUACCUGUACAUUAAUGCUGUUCGGAAAGACUUCCUAUUCGCAUAUGCAGCCAAUCAUACCUGGCACCAUAAAAUAUAUCAAAUUAACUGAUUAGUUCUUCAAGUCUUAUUGCUUAGAUUGAUACCUGCAAUUUUGUGGAAUUCUUCUGAGUCUUGUGGGUCUGUGACUUGGGAA